Molecule: ribosomal RNA, 253 nt
Filed under: uncultured bacterium
Lineage: Bacteria
Description: partial 16S ribosomal RNA
Rfam family: Bacterial small subunit ribosomal RNA
Source: RNAcentral
CACGGGGGGAGCAAGCGUUGUUCGGAAUCACUGGGCGUAAAGGGCGUGUAGGCGGUCGAGUAAGUGGGAUGUGAAAUGCCUCGGCUUACCCGGGGACCGGCAUCCCAAACUGCUUGGCUUGAGUAUGGGAGAGGAUGAGGGAAUUCCUGGUGUAGCGGUGAAAUGCGUAGAUAUCAGGAGGAACACCGGUGGCGAAAGCGCUCAUCUGGCCCAAUACUGACGCUGAGGCGCGAAAGCUAGGGGAGCAAACGGA